Molecule: ribosomal RNA, 327 nt
Filed under: Triticum aestivum (bread wheat)
Lineage: Eukaryota; Viridiplantae; Streptophyta; Magnoliopsida; Poales; Poaceae
Description: partial small subunit ribosomal RNA
Source: RNAcentral
AUGUCGUGCGGCGCCCACACAGCACCCCACUCCUGGCUGUUCAUCUCUUCGCCGGCGGUGCAGCUCCCGCCGCCGUCGGGGCACCCGCGCUGCCGCGUCUCCGUCAGGGCCACAUGCGCUCCGACCUCCUCCCGCGUCCCAGCCGGUGGCGGCAACACGCGCCACCAGACCCGGCCGCGCCUCGUAGCGGCGCACUCGGUACCUCCGCCGCCGCCCCCUACCGCCAGAACCGUCCGGAGGGACGCCGCGACGGGGCUCGCUUUCCUCCUCUUCGUGCUCGGCCUGGUAUGCCUCUGUUGUUUGGGGAGUUUGUCCCUUCUGUCUUAA